AGAAAGGUUGCUGCCUCGGAGCCCAUCGAUAUUCUAAACAUCAAGCUGAAAAGAUUUAAAUCUUAUUUCAAGGGGUGGGGUUCGGAUAAAUUUGGACAUGCUAAAAGACGUAAAGAGGAUCUACGACUUGACCUAGAGCUGCUGGAAGAGGCAGAGGAGGAGGGCCCCCUCUCGCCCGAGCUAUACUCUAGGAAAUCUGAUAUUUGCUUUGAGCUCCAUGAGCUGCUGGUUGCUGAAGAAAUUUACUGGCUUCAGCAGUCUCACGAACGCUGGCUGCUUCGAGGUGAUCGUAAUACAGACUAUUUUCACAAAAUAGCCAAUGGCUGCAAACAAAAAAACACAAUCCAUGCUCUCAAAUGUGGGGAGGUGGAGAUUGGGCACGAUAAUCUGUUAGCCCACGCCACAAAUUUUUAUAAAGACCUCGUUGACCCUGCCCCAGGUAACAUGUUUCACCUAGAUCCUGAUACUUGGGGGGAUGAUGAAAAACUCGGCCAGAGAUAUGUCGACCUAAUUAGAGAGUUUUCUGAGGAAGAGGUCAAAGAUGCUCUGUUUGACAUGGAUAUCAACAGAGCUCCAGGGCCUGAUAAUAUUCCUGCUAAAUUUUAUCAGUGCUGCUGGGAUAUAGUCAAAAGUGAUAUCACUAACUCUUCGCGCCACGACACCACUAAGAACACCUUUAUCAACAUCCCGCGCAUUUCCAUGAGGAGGUGA
This 711-nucleotide ribosomal RNA is filed under the name Triticum aestivum (bread wheat). RNAcentral describes it as "partial small subunit ribosomal RNA". The record is from RNAcentral. Lineage: Eukaryota; Viridiplantae; Streptophyta; Magnoliopsida; Poales; Poaceae.